RNAcentral lists this long non-coding RNA (748 nucleotides) under Anas platyrhynchos platyrhynchos (common mallard). RNAcentral's name for it is "lncRNA (ENSAPLG00000024990.1)". The record is from RNAcentral. Lineage: Eukaryota; Metazoa; Chordata; Aves; Anseriformes; Anatidae.
GCUAACAGUUUAAGCAAGCAGUGCACUGCACUGCACUUUCUGGGAUCAUGCUCUUUCCUUAUAUAAUGUACAAAUAUAAAUAUAGAGGAUGACACUCACUAACUAGAAAGUUGCAAAAGCUGGAGUUGAUGGAAAAUGUCAUGUAAUUCCAUAGUAUGGGAUUCAUGUGCAGCUGGGCCAAAACACUUACCGAGCAGACUUCUCCAGUAUGUAUUUUAACUUUUCUUACAGGGGUGAAAAUCAGAUUUUGUGUUCAACUCUUGUCAGUCAAAUGGUAUCUUUGUCUGGAGCAUUUCAAAAUGAAUACCCACAGCCAACCUUCGCUGUCAAGAUUAAGACAAUCCCUUCCUAUAUUUGCAUGCAUUUUAGUCAUUCAGUAAAGUCACACCCUUUGAUCCUUCAAUUACGUCUUUUGCAAGAUAGUUUUACAGGAACCUUCAAGAUGAUUAAACGUAUUCAGGGAAUUCAAAAUUGUUUUUUGUUUUUCAGAGAUGAGUCUACCAGUUGUGUUCAUCUGAACAGUUGCUGGCUUCUGGCUGCCUUGGACAGGCUUUUCAACUCUUCUCUGAAGAAGUGAAAGAAUGGAAGAUUUGGGGGAUCUGAAGCAGAUGAAGCAGACAUCAGUCAAAGCCAGCUGCAGAAUAUUCAUAUGAAGGAAGAUUUAGGGAUUCUGGUCUCUGCUACCAAGACUAUUUCUGCCUUUCUUCCAAUGACUGUAUAAUAGAAUAAACAACCAUUUAAGGGAGCA